This 503-nucleotide ribosomal RNA is filed under the name uncultured bacterium. RNAcentral's name for it is "partial 16S ribosomal RNA". It matches the Rfam family "Bacterial small subunit ribosomal RNA", at positions 30 to 523 of the family's 1533-position model. The record is from RNAcentral.
AUUGAACGCUGGCGGCAGGCUUAACACAUGCAAGUCGAGCGGGGUGAUGGUGCUUGCACUAUCACUUAGCGGCGGACGGGUGAGUAAUGCUUAGGAAUCUGCCUAUUAGUGGGGGACAACAUCUCGAAAGGGAUGCUAAUACCGCAUACGUCCUACGGGAGAAAGCAGGGGAUCACUUGUGACCUUGCGCUAAUAGAUGAGCCUAAGUCGGAUUAACUAGUUGGUGGGGUAAAAGCCUACCAAGGCGACGAUCUGUAGCGGGUCUGAGAGGAUGAUCCGCCACACUGGGACUGGAAAACGGCCCAGACUCCUACGGGAGGCAGCAGUGGGGAAUAUUGGACAAUGGGGGGAACCCUGAUCCAGCCAUGCCGCGUGUGUGAAGAAGGCCUUAUGGUUGUAAAGCACUUUAAGCGAGGAGGAGGCUCUUUUGGUUAAUACCCAAGAUGAGUGGACGUUACUCGCAGAAUAAGCACCGGCUAACUCUGUGCCAGCAGCCGCCGUAA